Carya illinoinensis is the source of this 1282-nucleotide long non-coding RNA. RefSeq lists it as uncharacterized. Lineage: Eukaryota; Viridiplantae; Streptophyta; Magnoliopsida; Fagales; Juglandaceae. The transcript is spliced from 3 exons. The record is from RefSeq and is a predicted model, not a curated record.
UCUGCAUUUCAAAAAGCAAACAUUUUACUUUCAGAAGAAAGAAAAAAAAACUUCCGAAAUAGCAAAAUGGAAACCAAAAUAUAAACUGAACUGUCGACAAAAUAGAUGGGUGGUGAAAUAGAGGUAGGAGUCGUGGGUGCUAGGCGACAAAAGGGACAGUGAUGAGUUGAGGGUGAGUCGCACGGUAUCGCUGGUGGAGGGAGGGUGAUAAGGGUGUUGGACGAUGAGUGGUUCUCGUGAACUCCUCCCUCUUGUUCAAAAUGGCCUAUGGGGAAAACAGGCUGGGUGGCGAUGGCCAGAGGCAAGCCGAUGAGUCACCGAUGCUGGGUGACGAGAGGGAGGGAGGGGGACGAGGGAGUGGGAUGGGUUAAAAAAUGGGGUUGUUGUCUUCAAAUUGUAGUUUCAAUAGGAAGAGUAAUUCUAUGUUGCUCUUUUUUUUUUUUUUUUUUUGAUAGAAACGCCAGUGCAUUUGAAAAUUUAGGUUGAUCCCGCUUCUUCAGCACCCGUGUUGCCCGGCCAGUGCACCCCGCGAUGGCCAUCCCUCGGUCCAACACCACUCCGCGCCACCCAUCCCUUGCUUUGACUACAUAAUUUAUAUGAUAUCUGGCUAGCCAUUUUCAUUUGACACCUUCACCGUUGUAAGAGCUUCUCGACUUAUAGCGAACAAGCUCGUUGCGAAGUAGAAUUUGGAGAAGGAAAAGUGAAGAGAAAAUGCCUAGGUUCGAUCCGUAGCCAAUGUUCUUCAAGCGAGAGUGGAAUCGGAACCAGCCUUUUCUGGUGGGGUUUGCAAUCACCGGAACCAUCAUCACUAAGUUCUCUCUCGGUCUCUCAAAUGCGAAGAACGCUACCUUCGUUCAGAGGUUCAUUCAGAGGAACAAGAGGCUGUUCUUGCACCUUUUCUUGUUGGUAUGACUUGAAAAUACUACCAUAUGGUGAAAAGAGAUUCAACCGAUUAAAAACCGAACUUCGAAAGAUACAACUAGCAAUGGAUAUCCAAACAACUCGACAUCGACUAGAAAUAGAGGCUGAAAGGCGCAAGAGAAAACUUGAGUGUCAAUUUAUUUAUUGUAAUUUCAAUUACAUAUGUACUUUGUUUAGGAUUUUAUUUUGGGAAAUUAUGAGAAAACAAUGUGAACAAGAUUGCAAUUUUCAUGUCGUGGGCACUUUGUUUAGGAUUUUAUUUUGGAAAAUUAUGAUAAAAAAAUGUGAAUAAGAUUGUAAUUUUCAUGUCGUGGGUACUUUGUUUAGGAUUUUAUAAGAAGUUGUUUUCAUUUUAGAUUAA